Molecule: ribosomal RNA, 468 nt
Filed under: uncultured bacterium
Lineage: Bacteria
Description: partial 16S ribosomal RNA
Rfam family: Bacterial small subunit ribosomal RNA
Source: RNAcentral
GACGAACGCUGGCGGCGUGCUUAACACAUGCAAGUCGAACGGAAAGGCCCUGCUUUUUUGGGGUGCCCGAGUGGCGAACGGGUGAGUAACACGUGAGUAACCUGCCCUUGACUUUGGGAUAACUUCAGGAAACUGGGGCUAAUACCGGACAGCAUCCCCUGCUGCAUGGAGGGGGUUGGAAAGUUUCGGCGGUUGGGGAUGGACUCGCGGCUGAUCAGCUUGUUGGUGGGGUAGUGGCUUACCCAGGCUUUGACCGGUACCCGGCAUGAGAGGGUGACCGGCGACAUUGGGACUGAGAGACGGCCCAGAGUGCUACGGGAGGCAGAAGUGGGGAAUAUUGCACAAUGGGAGGAAGCCUGAUGCAGCAACGCCGCGUGCGGGAUGACGGCCUUCGGGUUGUAAAACGCUUUCGGCUGUGACGAAGCGUGAGUGACGGUAAUGGGUAAAGAAGCACCGGCUAACUACGUG